UCCGUAGGUCCCGAACGUUGCGCGAAUUUACUGGGCGUAAAGGGUCCGUAGGCGGUUUAGCAAGUGGUUGGUGAAAUUUCACGGCUCAACCGUGAAACUGCCUUCCAAACUGCUAAACUUGAGGCAGGGAGAGGUCGGCGGAAUUCCCGGUGUAGCGGUGAAAUGCGUAGAGAUCGGGUGGAACACCAGUGGCGAAGGCGGCCGGCUGGAACUGUUCUGACGAUGAGGGACGAAAGCUAGGGGAGCAAACCGG
This 253-nucleotide ribosomal RNA is filed under the name uncultured bacterium. RNAcentral's name for it is "partial 16S ribosomal RNA". It matches the Rfam family "Bacterial small subunit ribosomal RNA", at positions 524 to 776 of the family's 1533-position model. The record is from RNAcentral.